This 253-nucleotide ribosomal RNA is filed under the name uncultured bacterium. RNAcentral's name for it is "partial 16S ribosomal RNA". It matches the Rfam family "Bacterial small subunit ribosomal RNA", at positions 524 to 776 of the family's 1533-position model. The record is from RNAcentral.
GACAGAGGGUGCAAACGUUGUUCGGAAUUACUGGGCGUAAAGCGUGUGUAGGCGGUCUCUUAAGUCGGAUGUGAAAGCCCCGGGCUCAACCCGGGAAGUGCACUCGAAACUGGGAGGCUAGAGUACUGGAGAGGUUGGUGGAAUCCUCGGUGUAGAGGUGAAAUUCGUAGAUAUCGAGAGGAACACCGGUGGCGAAGGCGGCCAACUGGACAGAUACUGACGCUGAGACACGAAAGCGUGGGGAGCAAACAGG